Transfer RNA from Stylonychia lemnae, 73 nucleotides. It matches the Rfam family "tRNA". From Rfam's summary of the family: Transfer RNA (tRNA) molecules are approximately 80 nucleotides in length. Their secondary structure includes four short double-helical elements and three loops (D, anti-codon, and T loops). NCBI's taxonomy places the organism in Eukaryota, Ciliophora, Spirotrichea, Sporadotrichida, Oxytrichidae. The record is from Rfam.
GUCUUCGUGGCGCAAUGGAUAGCGCAUCAGACUUCUAAUCUGGGGGUUGUGGGUUCGAGUCCCACCGUGGACU